This is a long non-coding RNA of Mytilus californianus (California mussel), 622 nucleotides long. RefSeq lists it as uncharacterized. The transcript has 2 exons. The record is from RefSeq and is a predicted model, not a curated record. Lineage: Eukaryota; Metazoa; Mollusca; Bivalvia; Mytilida; Mytilidae.
CAUUUAUUGUAUAAAUAAGACUACUUUUGUUUGAAAUAACAUUCGGCGGCAAAAUUUUAUAUCGGAAUAACAUAGAUCAAAAUGAAAAGGACUACAUGCAGUUUGUUGAUACUCCUUAUCAUCAGCUUAAUAAUUACAGUGGAGAUGAUUCCUAUCCGAGAUUGUGACUCUUGUAAUACUAAUUACAAUCAACAAUGUAUUGAUCACCCAUGUCCGGUUUUCAAAGCGGCUUGUGUUUUGUACUGCGCCCGACUCUUACACCAUUGUGACAUUUACUGCAGGCAGACAUGAUGGUUUAUUUCAUUGUAACGUUCUCUGUUGAAACGUGUGUAUACAAUAGAAUUAAAGGAUUGUGUGGACAUCCAAUGUCAAAAAUGACCUUUCUGAUCCGGAUUAAACUGGCAUAUUGUGGACAUGGUAUACCUGCAAAGUAUUCUGUUUGAGAGAUAUUUGUAUAUUGUGCACAUACAUUUUUCAUAUUGGUCCAGAAGGCAGCUUCUAUAUUUAGGUUUGCUCAACUAAAGCGUUCAGUACUUCAUAUCACGUGGUAAUAUUAGACAUUGAAAAUUAUGAACUUUAUAUUUUUAUACAUAUUUUACACAAUAAAUGUAUUAUAAAUGUA